Molecule: ribosomal RNA, 497 nt
Filed under: uncultured bacterium
Lineage: Bacteria
Description: partial 16S ribosomal RNA
Rfam family: Bacterial small subunit ribosomal RNA
Source: RNAcentral
GAUGAACGCUGGCGGCGUGCCUAAUACAUGCAAGUCGAGCGAACAGACGGGGAGCUUGCUCCUCUGACGUUAGCGGCGGACGGGUGAGUAACACGUGGAUAACCUACCUAUAAGACUGGGAUAACUUCGGGAAACCGGAGCUAAUACCGGAUAAUAUAUUGAACCGCAUGGUUCAAUAGUGAAAGACGGUUUUGCUGUCACUUAUAGAUGAAUCCGCGCCGCAUUAGCUAGUUGGUAAGGUAACGGCUUACCAAGGCAACGAUGCGUAGCCGACCUGAGAGGGUGAUCGGCCACACUGGAACUGAGACACGGUCCAGACUCCUACGGGAGGCAGCAGUAGGGAAUCUUCCGCAAUGGGCGAAAGCCUGACGGAGCAACGCCGCGUGAGUGAUGAAGGUCUUCGGAUCGUAAAACUCUGUUAUUAGGGAAGAACAAAUGUGUAAGUAACUAUGCACGUCUUGACGGUACCUAAUCAGAAAGCCACGGCUAACUACGUG